CUAUAUUUGAUAAUUGGAAGCGCCGUUGUCAGGGAUUCGAGGUUUACUUUUCUAGUAGUGUGAAUUGAUUGAAUUUGACUUGGUUGUAUAUUAUUUUUGUUUUAUUUUUGUUUAAUUGCGUUUUAUUUUAUUUUUCUGUAAAAGUGCUUUUAGGGUGUGUUUCUUGUGUAUGCAGGAAACAAUACAUACUAGGAGCAGAAAAGACCAGCAACCUCUUUUAGAAGGUUUACCGGACAG
Molecule: long non-coding RNA, 237 nt
Filed under: Vigna radiata
Lineage: Eukaryota; Viridiplantae; Streptophyta; Magnoliopsida; Fabales; Fabaceae
Description: long non-coding RNA (VRAD_LNC003987)
Source: RNAcentral